This 2156-nucleotide unclassified non-coding RNA is filed under the name Anneissia japonica. Its description in RNAcentral is "tyrosyl-DNA phosphodiesterase 2-like, transcript variant X1". Lineage: Eukaryota; Metazoa; Echinodermata; Crinoidea; Comatulida; Comatulidae. The record is from RNAcentral.
UUAAACAGCACGUGGUGAUGAACUCGUUGAAGCGUGCAGAGUUACUUGAUGUUGUGUUAAAUAUCGUCAACACAUUUGUGAAGGGAAACAUAUUGUAAUAUGGCUGCGUUUACGGUUGACGAUCACAUUGCAAGUCUUUUCGCAGAGUUUUGUCUCGUAACUGGAGCUACUGAAGAUGAAGCACUUGAAUAUUUACAAAAGAAAGACUGGCAAGUUGUGGAUGCAAUCAAUUUAUACUUUGACACAGUGGCAAAUCAACCUGAUGACAUGGAAGCAGCUGCAGCAAGUCUGUCUGCUAAAGAUAGCUGCGGUGGAAGCACAACUCAACAACAAGGUGAAAAGAAGAUCAAAUUAGUAACAUGGAAUAUUGAUGGUCUGGAUGAUAAAGAUCUGAUGCACCGAACCAAAGCAGUCUGUAGUACUAUAGAAAGACUAGAUCCAGAUAUUGUGUUUCUCCAGGAGGUAAUUGUUGACACUGCAUCAUACAUUGAGAAACGAUGUCAAAGGUACAAGGUGUUAAAGACAAGUAAUACUGCAUAUUUCACUGCUAUGAUGUUUAAAAAAAGCUCAGUCACAAUUCUGUCAAAUUCUGUUCAGCCAUUUGAGAAUACGACAAUGAUGAGGAUGCUACAAAAAGUUCAGGUCAAGUGUGCUGGACUUGAUCUCCUUCUCAUGAACUCUCACCUAGAGAGCACAAAAGAGAAACAUGCAGAACGGAAGGAACAGUUCAAGAUUGCACUCGAGGAAAUGGCCAAUGCUAGUAGGGAUACUGUGGUUUUGUUUGGAGGUGAUACAAACCUAAGAGACAGUGAGGUGAGCCGUAUGGGAGGCAUACCUGGAGGGAUCGUGGACCUGUGGGAACUGUUUGGUCGUCCAGAAGAUUCCAAGUAUACAUGGGAUACCCAGCAGAACAACAACCUCAAUUGGCCGUAUCCUAACAAACCAAGAAUACGUUUUGACAGGCUGUUCCUAAGGCAAGCUGAGACAGCCUCUCAAGUUUCUCUACAAACAUUCAAACUCAUUGGUAAUGAGUGGAUUGCAGCAGUUGAUCGCUUUCCGAGCGACCACUUUGGGAUUUUCUGUGACUUCAAAGUCAAUUAAGAUGCUGUGAAGAAAAUUUAUGUCCUCUUUGCCAAUCCAAGCACAAAUCCAAACAGUUGGUGGAGUGGUUGUGUUUGUGUUCUCAAUCUUGAGGUCGGGGUGUGAGCUUCUUGCUGUAUAUUUCGCUUAUGUCCUUAAGCAAGGCAAUUUAAAAAUAUUUUUGUCGCUUUCACCUAGGAAUAUAAACAGAUACCUGUGACAGUGAAUGUAUUUGCCCAAUGGAGGACAGGCAUACUUCCCAGGUAGUGGAAGAGGUUGCACUUUGUGCCAUUUCGAGAAUACAGUGCAGUAUUCAAUGACCAGGGCCUAUAACAACAUUUCCAGCACCUGGUAUACACCCUUAGCAAAAGGUGGUAUAUAUAUUGUUAUAUACCUCAUACAUAGAUUCUAGGCAUCUGAUUGGUUAAAAAGUAGGCAAUAGAAAGCAUUAUUCCCUGAAAAAUAGUACUUUUUUGACCUGUCGCGUGGUGCUAACUGUAGGCCCCACCUUUGCGCUGAUGGUAGAGGGGACUGUGACCUCUACGACGAAAGAGAUUGGCCCUUGAUCGCGCCACAGAUCAACAAGUAGACGAUAAACAAUAAUUAUGGAGGAUGUCGGUUCAAUCUCCUGGAUGAAGAAGGACUAGCCUAGGCCUAGCAAUACUUCCUGAUGAAGCCGAUAGCAAAAACACCAAAAGACAAAUUAAAUAUGUCUUGUCAGUAGUCGACAAAUAUUGCAAGACGAUGGAUUGAAAUUGAGGAAAUGAGCAAAGAAGAGCUAGACACACUCUUUGAUCAAUUAGGCCCUAGUUAGUAGGCCUCUAGGCUAGGAAGUAAGUACUUUUUAGGCCUCGUAGAAUCUAUGUAUGAGGUAUAUUAAACAAAUAUUGACUGCUCUAGAUUCGGGGAGCGGUGAAAUCUAUUACCCCGAGGUGAUGUGGAGACCGUAGCCUAUCUUCCCUCAGGCCUAUUGUCCCGAGGUGAUGUGGAGGCCUCCACAUCACAUCAGGGAUAUAGAUUUCACCAUUCUCCUCAUGAGCAGUCAAUAUUUGUAUACAAUAUUAUUAUGUAACAGG